Molecule: long non-coding RNA, 1243 nt
Filed under: Homo sapiens (human)
Lineage: Eukaryota; Metazoa; Chordata; Mammalia; Primates; Hominidae
Description: HSALNT0061095
Source: RNAcentral
CUUCUUCCUGCUGCCCAUGGCUCUGCAAAGAAGACGAAGCCCUGUUACCGCGGCCGUGGGCCGUUCCCCCGCAGCCUCGCGACAAACCGCUGCGUGGAUCAGCAAGCCCAGAGCCUCCUUCAGACAAGCCCCCCUCCUACGGCCCCCGGCCCCUUUUUAAGGUGCUUCUAACUGGCGGCAAAUCAGCACACUGAUACAAAGUGAACACCCCGCGAGGAAGCGGAGCCUGCAGUCCACGGGCUCGUGGCUCGCCGGGCGGUUUUCUGGGGAUCUGCGAAGCCCCCUCCCCACCCCGGAGCCGGCCAGGGGGCGCGCGCAGAGGCCGGAGUCAGUGCGCCGGGCGCGGUGCAGCCUGUCGGGCACAGGGUCGCCAGUCGAGGAAUUCUGACAAAAAAACGACAUGGGACCCUGUUAUCCCUGCUGUUCUUAUGGAUUACUGGGAAAGUGAGCCACUGCGAACGACAGGUACAAGAUCUUCGACGCGCCCGGAGUCACCAACCGAGUCUGCCGCGACCUAGCCGCGGUCGUCAUGGCAACCUGGCCCCCCCGCCAGGCCUGCCAGGAAAGCCGGCGGACACGUAAGCCACGCCCACUCUGGGCCCAACGCAGUCUCUCCGCGGAGGCUCUGAACCCAGCCAGGGAGAGGCAGGAGGGAGUCCCGCCCCUUGCCCUCCAUAUCGGACCAUAGGAACCCACUCAUUGGCUGCAGUGUUUGUCAGCGUCUGGAGGCUUCGAACCCACCAAGCAAAGACCCAGUGCAUCUGUGCGUUGCACAGUCGCAUCUGUGAAUCCCUGCAUCCCUCCUGCCCUGCCUGCCAAGACUGAUGUGCAGCUUUUCUACCAUCACAUACCGAUUCAUACAGAAUCACAUCUGCAUAGAACUGCAAUGAACUUCUCCGUCAUCCAUUACCAUCUUCAGCAAGGUAUGGAUCUUAGCCUGGUGGUAGAAUGUGAAGAUGAGGACCUCAUCCAGGUUUCUUCCUUCCUUGGGUGCUCUGCCUCAGCCCUAGAGGCUGCCCCUUAUAUCUGCUGUAAUUGUAUUCUUUAGAGUUUUCUUUUCCCUUUACUAGGUAAUCCCCUCUUACACAUAGUAUUUUUUUAUAUUAAAAUAUCCUUGUCCAAAUUAUUGUGUGGUUUCUGUAUCCUGAGUAAACUCUGACCAAUAAUACAUGGCUAUACCAAUUUAUACUUCUACUUGCAAUGUGUGAGAGUUCCAGUUCCUCCACAGUCAAUUAUUUUAAAG